GUGUGGCCCAAAAACAAAAAACAAACAAACAAAAAGAAAUGUGGACCUGGAGAAAUUUAGGGCUAGCUUGCUCCUUGCAGGUCCAAGAUCAACAGUCCCACAUUG
This is a small nucleolar RNA of Suncus etruscus (white-toothed pygmy shrew), 105 nucleotides long. RefSeq annotates it as small nucleolar RNA SNORA38. NCBI's taxonomy places the organism in Eukaryota, Metazoa, Chordata, Mammalia, Eulipotyphla, Soricidae. The transcript has a single exon. The record is from RefSeq and is a predicted model, not a curated record.